GUCUAUGGCCUCUUAUCAUGAACACGCCCAAUCCCCUCCUGAUCUCUGCAAGCUCAGCAGGGUUGGGCCUGUCCUAGUACUUGAGUGCGAGCCCACCCAGGCAGCCCAGGCGUUGUAGGCA
RNAcentral lists this ribosomal RNA (121 nucleotides) under Pteropus vampyrus (large flying fox). Lineage: Eukaryota; Metazoa; Chordata; Mammalia; Chiroptera; Pteropodidae. The record is from RNAcentral.